Molecule: ribosomal RNA, 253 nt
Filed under: uncultured bacterium
Lineage: Bacteria
Description: partial 16S ribosomal RNA
Rfam family: Bacterial small subunit ribosomal RNA
Source: RNAcentral
UACGAAGGGUGCAAGCGUUGCUCGGAAUUAUUGGGCGUAAAGGGUAGGUAGGUGGUAAUAAAAGUCUGGGGUGAAAUCCCUGAGCUCAACUCAGGACGUGCCUUGGAAACUUUAUUACUAGAGUGCUGGAGAGGUCCGCAGAAUUCCCGGUGUAGCGGUGAAAUGCGUAGAGAUCGGGAGGAACAUCUGUGGCGAAGGCGACUGCCUGGACCAGCACUGACACUGAGGCACGAAAGCGUGGGGAGCAAACAGG